Long non-coding RNA from Oreochromis aureus, 643 nucleotides. RefSeq lists it as uncharacterized. The transcript has 3 exons. The record is from RefSeq and is a predicted model, not a curated record. NCBI's taxonomy places the organism in Eukaryota, Metazoa, Chordata, Actinopteri, Cichliformes, Cichlidae.
CGCCUCCCCUGCCUGUCUGCAGAGGCAGUUUUGAAUUUAGGAGCGGCAAGAUGGCAGCGGCAAACCCUGGCGGUUCUCCGAUUAUGCAAGAUGAAAUUAUUCAGUCAGCAAGACACUUGCUGCAGUUGCUGACAUCAUCCAACCGAACUGCUGCUGUGAUGAAUCAGAAUACAAGAGAACAGAGUCAAGGUGGCCAGGGUACCAGCUCGGUCAACCCUGAAAGACCAUCCGUUCAGCAAGAAAUGACCAGGUGAAAAAGUCGUAAACUAAACAUUCUGCAUGAGCAUGAAAUUUAGGAUGCAACUUUAUGUCUUACCUGCUCUUACCUACUCAGGGCUUGAAUUACAACAACAGUCAAUCACAUAAAAAAUAUUUUUGGUAGUUCUGUGUCUCUGUCUCUCUCCUCCAAACCCAGAUGGCUGCUGGUACUGAGCCGGGUUCAGUUUUUCCUCUGCACUGUCGCUUCAUGCUGCUCAGUGUGAGGGAUUGUUGAGGUUGAGUCCAUAUGUCCUGGGAACAACUGCUGGGCAAUGACACUGUUAGAUUUGUAUUGUUUAUUGUCAUUUAUGCUUAGAAAUAUUUACUCAUAUAUGCUUAGAAGUAUAUAAUCAUUUGUAGAUUGAAAGAAUGUCUCAUCCUAGGA